Molecule: ribosomal RNA, 332 nt
Filed under: uncultured bacterium
Lineage: Bacteria
Description: partial 16S ribosomal RNA
Rfam family: Bacterial small subunit ribosomal RNA
Source: RNAcentral
CCUACGGGAGGCAGCAGUGAGGAAUAUUGGUCAAUGGACGCAAGUCUGAACCAGCCAUGCCGCGUGCAGGAAGACGGCUCUAUGAGUUGGAAACUGCGUUUGUAGGAGGGUAAAUCACGAUACGUGUAACGGGUGGAAAGUAGCGUACGAAGAAGGAACGGCGAACUCCGUGCCAGCAGCCGCGGUAAUACGGAGGAUUCAAGCGUUAUACGGAUUUAUUUGGGGUAAAGGGUGCGUAGGCGGUUCGAUAAGUUAGAGGUGAAAUCCCGGGGCUCCACUCCGGCACUGCCUCUGAUACUGUCGGGCUAGAGUUUAGUUGCGGUAUGCGGAAU